AUGCUAACAUCAGCAGCACAUAUACUAAAAUAGGAAUACAGAGAAGAUUAGCAUGGCCUCUGCAAAGAAUAACAUACACAUUUAUGAAGUGUUCCAUAUUUUU
RNAcentral lists this small nuclear RNA (103 nucleotides) under Phascolarctos cinereus (koala). Lineage: Eukaryota; Metazoa; Chordata; Mammalia; Diprotodontia; Phascolarctidae. The record is from RNAcentral.